GGCGGAGCCUACGGAGUUCACGGUGCAAGGCAUCGUCCGUCACUGGACCACUCCCAGCCAACCUUCACCUCGUUCCAUCAGCGAGUUGAGAAGGGAUGCGUUGGAGAAGAAGAACAAGUAGCCAAAAGUCUGAGACACGAGGUCAGGGUGCAGCUCGCACUGGCUGGUCAGCUCCAAGGCUGCCUGGAACACGCCCAGGGUCCAGUGGAUUUGUGCUUCCUCGCCUCCAAGAAUGAACUCGCUCACUGCUAUCCAAGCUCCAAGCCCAAUGGGCUGCGGUGAAUUCUCACACUGAUCUCUGUCAACUUCUCAUCCAGUGGGAUCUCUCCCCCACCAUCUCCCAUAAUGGUUUCUUCCUAAGAGGAUUUCAAAGAGAUAAUCCCCCUUCCAUCAAUGGAUGUUCUCAAUAUUCCUACAAUGGACUCCUACAAUGGACUCACCUAUUACUCCCACUCCCCCAACGGAGGAUUUCAAAGAGAUAACCCCCCUUCCAUCAAUGGACGUUCUCAAUAUUCCAAUCCCCAAAAAGGACAUCUCCAAAAAGAUCUCCAUACAGUGGGCUCUUCUGGUCAUUCCACGGAUAAAUAAAUGCCUUCACGGACAACCUCUUACCAUGGAGUGUUCCAUCUCAUUUAUCAAAUGAAGACAGGCAUUCCAGAAGACCUCGUCCUAAAAAAUGGACUCUCAUCUCCAUUCCAUAAAUGUAGAACCACUCAAUCUGACCCCCUUCCAUUCGCCAACCAUGUCUGAGACAACAGGCAUCUUGAUAUGCAUAGAUCCCCCUUCUACACUAAAUUCUACCAUUACCCCUACCCCAUGAAUGGGUGUUUCCAAAAAGACUCCUACCUCCAAAAGAUUUGCUCAUCUACCCUUGUAGAAAAAUGGGUCUUUCCAGUCUUACCACCUUCUGAAGGUAGACUCUCCUGUUCUUCAUUCCUGUCUGAAGGAAUGGGAUGACCCAAAAUAAAAGCCCCCUUUCUACAAUGGGCUCUCCUGCUCCCUAACCCAGGAAGGGAUGCUUUCUUGGCACCUACAGUGAACUUUCACUUCACAGCCACUCCAUGAAUCGGCA
Molecule: long non-coding RNA, 1072 nt
Filed under: Homo sapiens (human)
Lineage: Eukaryota; Metazoa; Chordata; Mammalia; Primates; Hominidae
Description: HSALNT0261189
Source: RNAcentral